This 435-nucleotide ribosomal RNA is filed under the name uncultured soil bacterium. RNAcentral's name for it is "bacterial SSU rRNA". It matches the Rfam family "Bacterial small subunit ribosomal RNA", at positions 26 to 476 of the family's 1533-position model. The record is from RNAcentral.
AGAUUGAACGCUGGCGGCAUGCCUAACACAUGCAAGUCGAACGGGAGUAGCAAUACUCUAGUGGCGGACGGGUGAGGAAUACGUAGGAAUUUGCCCUUAAGUGGGGGAUAACCCGGGGAAACCCGGAUUAAUACCGCAUGACCUCGAAAGAGCAAAGUGGGGGAUCGCAAGACCUCACGCUUUUGGAGAAGCCUACGUCGGAUUAGCUAGUUGGUGAGGUAAUGGCUCACCAAGGCGACGAUCCGUAACUGGUCUGAGAGGAUGAUCAGUCACACCGGAACUGAGACACGGUCCGGACUCCUACGGGAGGCAGCAGUGGGAAUAGUGGACAAUGGGCGCAAGCCUGAUCCAGCAAUGCCGCGUGUGUGAAGAAGGCCGUUCGGUUGUAAAGCUAACGUUUAAGGUUAGGGAAGAAAAAACUCGACUACUAACAAC